Molecule: non-coding RNA, 129 nt
Organism: Gossypium raimondii (Peruvian cotton)
Lineage: Eukaryota; Viridiplantae; Streptophyta; Magnoliopsida; Malvales; Malvaceae
Source: Rfam
UAUUAAAAAUUCUAUCCAUUUUUACUGUUAAAACUAGCAUGAUUGAUGAAAUAAUCAAACAUUUACACGUGGCAUGCUAAACGUAUAGGGAUCGAUUUUUAAUAAUAGAAAUGAUUGGAAUUUUUAAUA